GACGAACGCUGGCGGCGUGCCUAAUACAUGCAAGUCGAGCGAAGCGGCGGACGGGUGAGUAACACGUAAGGAACCUACCGAUAAGCGGGGGACAACAUCCGGAAACGGGUGCUAAUACCGCAUACUUAUCCAUGGCCUUGGGCGGCAUUAGCUCGUUGGUGGGGUAACGGCCCACCAAGGCAAUGAUGCAUAGCCGACCUGAGAGGGUAAUCGGCCACACUGGGACUGAGACACGGCCCAAACUCCUACGGGAGGCAGCAGUAGGGAAUCUUCCGCAAUGGGCGCAAGCCUGACAGAGCAACGCCGCGUGAGUGAAGAAGGUUUUCGGAUCGUAAAGCUCUGUUGUAAGAGAAGCGGUAUCUUACCAGAAAGCCACGGCUAACUCCGUGCCAGCAGCCGCGGUAAUUC
This 408-nucleotide ribosomal RNA is filed under the name uncultured bacterium. RNAcentral describes it as "partial 16S ribosomal RNA". It matches the Rfam family "Bacterial small subunit ribosomal RNA", at positions 28 to 526 of the family's 1533-position model. The record is from RNAcentral.